Long non-coding RNA from Haplochromis burtoni (Burton's mouthbrooder), 243 nucleotides. RefSeq lists it as uncharacterized. The record is from RefSeq and is a predicted model, not a curated record. Lineage: Eukaryota; Metazoa; Chordata; Actinopteri; Cichliformes; Cichlidae. The transcript has 3 exons.
GAACCUGAGUUAAAGAUGGGAACUGUGCUGUCAUACUUUUGCCAUUUGUGUGGACACGGAAAUAAGGAAGAGAAGGAGAGAUGCUUGCGGGCUAAUGACAGCACUUUCAACCUAUCUUUCCGCUAUGCUAACAAUGCCAUCAAGACCUCCAAAUACAACAUCUUCACCUUCCUGCCACUUAAUCUUUUUGAGCAGUUCAAGAGGCUCGCUAAUGCCUACUUCCUCUUCCUGCUCAUCCUUCAG